AUCUGCAGUCGAGGGGCAGCAGGACUGUAGCAAUACAGUUGCUGGCGACCGGCAAACGGGUGCGGAACACGUACGCAACCUUCCUUCAAAUGGGGGAUAGCCCACCGAAAGGUGGAUUAAUACCCCGUAACAUUUUCCGGUGGCAUCACCGGAUCAUUAUAGCUCCGGCGUUUGAAGAUGGGCGUGCGGCUGAUUAGGUAGUUGGCGGAGUAACAGCCCACCAAGCCUACGAUCAGUAACUGGUGUGAGAGCACGACCAGUCACACGGGCACUGAGACACGGGCCCGACUCCUACGGGAGGCAGCAGUAAGGAAUAUUGGUCAAUGGACGCAAGUCUGAACCAGCCAUGCCGCGUGGAGGAUGAAGGUCCUCUGGAUUGUAAACUUCUUUUAUCGGAGAAGAAACCCUCAAAUUCUUUUGGGGUUGACGGUACCCGAUGAAUAAGCACCGGCUAACUCCGUGCCAGCAGCCGCGGUAAUACGGAGGGUGCAAGCGUUAUCCGGAUUCACUGGGUUUAAAGGGAGCGUAGGUGGGGUGGUAAGUCAGUGGUGAAAUCUCCGGGCUUAACCCGGAAACUGCCGUUGAUACUAUCAUUCUUGAAUAUUGUGGAGGUAAGCGGAAUAUGUCAUGUAGCGGUGAAAUGCUUAGAUAUGACAUAGAACACCGAUAGCGAAGGCAGCUUGCUACACAAUUAUUGACACUGAGGCUCGAAAGCGUGGGGAUCAAACAGGAUUAGAUACCCUGGUAGUCCACGCCCUAAACGAUGGAUACUCGACAUACGCGAUACACAGUGUGUGUCUGAGCGAAAGCAUUAAGUAUCCCACCUGGGAAGUACGACCGCAAGGUUGAAA
This 851-nucleotide ribosomal RNA is filed under the name uncultured bacterium. RNAcentral describes it as "bacterial SSU rRNA". It matches the Rfam family "Bacterial small subunit ribosomal RNA", at positions 53 to 899 of the family's 1533-position model. The record is from RNAcentral.